GGCAUAGAUUCGAGGCUUCGGCCUUCACCUCUUCAGCUGUGCGCUCCGGCUGCACGCUGUCGAACUACACACACCUGUGCACCUUAUCGGUUUCGGCCUCACCGCCGUCGCCGCUUUACAUCUCACAACGUCAGUUCAGAAUGUUUAAACUAUAAAAGUAACAACUUUCAACAACGGAUCUCUUGGCUCUCGCAUCGAUGAAGAACGCAGCGAAAUGCGAUAAGUAAUGUGAAUUGCAGAAUUCAGUGAAUCAUCGAAUCUUUGAACGCAUCUUGCGCUCCAUGGUAUUCCGUGGAGCAUGCCUGUUCGAGUGUCACGUCAACCUCCCCGCUUGGCAAGGCCAAAUCUGUCGAAGGGGAAUUGGAACGGGGCCCGUCCCUCGGGUCGCCUUGAAAAGCGUUAUAUUGUGCUUUUUAUAGAGCGCGGGACCGGUGUGAGAAUUAUCUGCGCCCACGCCCCAUGCCUCUUCUCUAUAGCUGCUUACAGUCUUCCCCACGGAGAAUUAUACCCAGCUUUGGGCUCUAAUCACGUAGGACUACCCCCUGAACUUAAACAUAUCAAAAAGGGGGGGGAGAA
RNAcentral lists this ribosomal RNA (576 nucleotides) under Eichleriella delicata. Its description in RNAcentral is "eukaryotic LSU rRNA". The stretch from base 163 to 316 matches the Rfam family "5.8S ribosomal RNA". The record is from RNAcentral. Lineage: Eukaryota; Fungi; Basidiomycota; Agaricomycetes; Auriculariales; Exidiaceae.